Long non-coding RNA from Cyprinus carpio (common carp), 1248 nucleotides. Lineage: Eukaryota; Metazoa; Chordata; Actinopteri; Cypriniformes; Cyprinidae. The record is from Ensembl.
UUAUUUUUGUCAUUAUUAAAAUGAACUGUAGAAAUCUAUUUACCAUGAAUUUAAUUAAAGUUUAUUCGUAUAGCACUUUUUAUGAUACAAAACUUUGCAAAGCAACUUUACAGAAAAUUACGUUUCUACAAUAUUUAGUAGUAGCUUAUCUGUGGUGAUGGUCAGUUUAUGUACAUAUGGCAGAAAUGUAAGGAAAAAUCAAUUACAGACGUAAUCAAUCAGAUGAUUAACAGCAAUUAUUACAUGAUGCAAUCAAACUUAUAGCAAAAUUUGGUAGUUCUGUAUGUUGUUUCAGGGUUGGCAUCAUCUCUUCUCAGGUGUUCUGGAUCCAGACUGAAGCUUGUGUAAUUCCUAGUUACCCGUGGCAAAAACAGAGAAACAAAUAGAGACAUAAUUAGCAUAGCUGCUGUUCCAACCAAGUAAAAUUAAUUUGUUAUUUAUUAUCGUCUAUUAUACUGUAUGUACAUUGCAGUUUUAAUGUAUUUUUAAAUACAUUAUAGAUUACACACAGUUUUGAUGGCUGCAACAUCACUCACUCUUAUGCAUGCAAAAAAGCACUGUUCACACAAAACCGUUUUUUAAAACUCUCUCGUCUACACUCACACACAUACACACACACACACAUAAGGGUGUGCGGAGGUAAUGUGUUUGCAGGGUCACGUUCUGGUUUUGUUAGGUCAGCCAUAAAGAAGAAAGGGAGAGAGAGGAAGAAAUGGAAGGAAGGGAAAUGGAUGAGUGUGCAGGAGCGAUGGAGGGAUGGAGGGAGAUAUUGACACACUCGCUCUUUUAAUUUCCCACAUCAAAGGCCUGUUUGAAGACACAGCUGGGAAAAGAAUAAAAGAAAGAGUGAAGUUAGUCACUCACCGACUCUCUCUGCCUGCAUGCCCUGAUGGGGGUCUCUUGGGUGGUUGAUGAGAAAGAAGAGGUGUGUCCUGACCAACUACAAUCUGGCAAGCCCCCUUCACCUUUCCCAACCCGUGUGCCCCUCUACAGACGUCAGAGAGCAAGUGAGUGUGUUAAUGGCUCUAUGGGAAAAGCAAAAGGGGGAAGAGAGAGAAAGAAUGACACACUGCGGGAAGAUAAUCACUGGGCAAUAAAGUGACGUCUCAGAAUCUGUCUCACAAUGCUGCAGACACAAGCCUGUAAGAACGCACGUGCACAGGAAACCACACAUAAACACUGCUGGAUUACACCACUGCCAAAUGAUACUGGGUCAAUAAAUGUGCUGUAUAUAAGCUAAUAAGUACA